RNAcentral lists this ribosomal RNA (552 nucleotides) under Triticum aestivum (bread wheat). Its description in RNAcentral is "partial small subunit ribosomal RNA". Lineage: Eukaryota; Viridiplantae; Streptophyta; Magnoliopsida; Poales; Poaceae. The record is from RNAcentral.
AUGGACGCACGGAUGAGGCUGAUAAUCCAGGCAGCAGCACUGAUUAGUGUGAUUCAGGCAUGGGUCAUGUUCAUGCACCAGAGAGCUGUUCGUCGUGCUGGGAGACCUUUGCUCCGCUAUGGUCCAUUGUUUUCUCGGGAACAGGAGAGGAUCCAAAAACUGAACUACAUCUACAACUGCAAUGACGUCGAGGCUCUGUGGAUGCUUAGAAUGAAAAGGGCACCAUUUGCCAGGCUUGUCGAGACCUUCAGGAGCAGGGAGCUGUUACAAGAUAGCAUCAACACCAGUGUAGAAGAGCAAGUGGGGAUGUUCCUCCAUGUUGUUGGCCAUAACCAGAGGUUUAGGGUCAUUCACAACACGUUCGGGAGGUCAAUGGAGACCAUCUCUAGGUACUUCAAGCAGGUGCUUUAUGCUGUUGGGGAGCUUAGAGGAGAGAUGAUCAGGAGACCAUCAGGCCAGACACCAUACUUCAAGGUGAGCAUUGACAAUAUACACUUUUCAAGGCUUGAUAUGCUUGUAUUGUUCAAGUUGAGAACUAACACAGGCUUGUGA